UGAGCCUCUGGCUCCUUAUUGAUAAGAUGGACAUGAUCACAACCACUUUAUAGAAUUAGUGUGAGGACUAAUUGAGAGAGUAAUAUGUUAGACCUUUGCUGCACGGUGGGAGCUCAACAAAUGGUUGUUGUAAUAGUCAUCAUCAUCGUCACUAUCAUCAUGUUUCAUCCUUAGUGUUCUGCGCCAGCUCCUGCCUGAGAUUUCUAGCCUGCUGGGCUGCCCUGAGGAUUUCUGACUUGCCAGCCCCAUAAUCACGUAAGCCAAUUCCUUAAGAAGAGAGAAAUCAUACAUCAUUCGAGAGCUAGAAAAGAUGACUGAGAUCACACU
RNAcentral lists this long non-coding RNA (327 nucleotides) under Equus caballus (horse). Its description in RNAcentral is "lncRNA (ENSECAG00000055419.1)". The record is from RNAcentral. Lineage: Eukaryota; Metazoa; Chordata; Mammalia; Perissodactyla; Equidae.